This 422-nucleotide ribosomal RNA is filed under the name uncultured bacterium. Its description in RNAcentral is "partial 16S ribosomal RNA". It matches the Rfam family "Bacterial small subunit ribosomal RNA", at positions 360 to 774 of the family's 1533-position model. The record is from RNAcentral.
AAUAUUGGACAAUGGGGUCAACCCUGAUCCAGCCAUGCCGCGUGUGUUAAGAAGGUCUUCGGAUUGUAAAGCACUUUAAGUUGGGAGGUAGGGCUUUAGGUUAAUACCCUGAAGUUUUGACGUUACCAACAGAAUAAGCACCGGCUAACUCUGUGUCAGCAGCUGCGGUCAUACAGAGGGUGCAAGCGUUAAUCGGAAUUACUGGGCGUAAAGCGGGCGUAGGUGGUUCAGUAAGAUGGGUGUGAAAUCCCCGGGGUUAACCUGGGAACUGCUUUCAUAACUGCUGAGCUAGAGUACGGUAGAGGGUAGUGGAAUUUCCUGUGUAGCGGUGAAAUGCGUAGAUAUAGGAAGGAACACCAGUGGCGAAGGCGACUACCUGGACUGAUACUGACACUGAGGUGCGAAAGCGUGGGGAGCAAACA